UACAUGGGGUGCAAACGUUGCUCGGAAUCAUUGGGCGUAAAGCGCGCGUAGGCGGUUACACAAGUUGGAUGUGAAAGCCCUCGGCUUAACUGAGGAAGUGCAUCCAAAACUGUGCAGCUAGAGUACUAAAGAGGGUCGCGGAAUUCCCGGUGUAGAGGUGAAAUUCGUAGAUAUCGGGAGGAACACCGGUGGCGAAGGCGGCGACCUGGGUGGAUACUGACGCUGAGGCGCGAAAGCGUGGGGAGCAAACAGG
RNAcentral lists this ribosomal RNA (253 nucleotides) under uncultured bacterium. RNAcentral's name for it is "partial 16S ribosomal RNA". It matches the Rfam family "Bacterial small subunit ribosomal RNA", at positions 524 to 776 of the family's 1533-position model. The record is from RNAcentral.